AGAUUAUCCAUUUUUGAUAAGAUCUUUUCAGCAUACCAUGAGGCAAGGAGCUCCAUUCGCGGUGACUUGGUCAGUGCUGGAAAUGCUGAAAAUGUUAAAGAUGAUUUAAGUGGUCUUGAUAAAGCUGUUAGUGCAGUGUUGGGUCAAAGGACAAUAGAACGCAACCAGUUAUUGGUAAAAAUUGCAAAGAGCAAACUUGUUAGGCGUCAUGAUGAAAAGAAUGAGAAAGUUACCAAG
Molecule: unclassified non-coding RNA, 237 nt
Filed under: Hevea brasiliensis (rubber tree)
Lineage: Eukaryota; Viridiplantae; Streptophyta; Magnoliopsida; Malpighiales; Euphorbiaceae
Source: RNAcentral